GUUGAGUCGUAGCUACAGGCGACGACGGGUAGCCGGCCUGAGAGGGCGACCGGCCACACUGGGACUGAGAUACGGCCCAGACUCCUACGGGAGGCAGCAGUGGGGAAUAUUGCACAAUGGGCGCAAGCCUGAUGCAGCGACGCCGCGUGAGGGAUGACGGCCUUCGGGUUGUAAACCUCUUUCAGCAGGGAAGAAGCCAAAGUGACGGUACCUGCAGAAGAAGCGCCGGCUAACUACGUGCCAGCAGCCGCGGUAAUACGUAGGGCGCAAGCGUUGUCCGGAAUUAUUGGGCGUAAAGAGCUCGUAGGCGGUUUGUCGCGUCUGCUGUGAAAACCUGAGGCUCAACCUCGGGCUUGCAGUGGGUACGGGCAGACUAGAGUGCGGUAGGGGUGACUGGAAUUCCUGGUGUAGCGGUGGAAUGCGCAGAUAUCAGGAGGAACACCGAUGGCGAAGGCAGGUCACUGGGCCGCAACUGACGCUGAGGAGCGAAAGCAUGGGGAGCGAACAGGAUUAGAUACCCUGGUAGUCCAUGCCGUAAACGUUGGGCACUAGGUGUGGGGCUCAUUCCACGAGUUCCGUGCCGCAGCAAACGCAUUAAGUGCCCCGCCUGGGGAGUACGGCCGCAAGGCUAAAACUCAAAGAAAUUGACGGGGGCCCGCACAAGCGGCGGAGCAUGCGGAUUAAUUCGAUGCAACGCGAAGAACCUUACCAAGGCUUGACAUACACCGGAAAAGUGCAGAGAUGUGCUCCCCGCAAGGGUCGGUGUACAGGUGGUGCAUGGUUGUCGUCAGCUCGUGUCGUGAGAUGUUGGGUUAAGUCCCGCAACGAGCGCAACCCUCGUCCUAUGUUGCCAGCGGGUCAUGCCGGGGACUCAUAGGAGACUGCCGGGGUCAACUCGGGAGGAAGGUGGGGGAUGACGUCAAAUCAUCAUGCCCCUUAUGUCUUGGGCUUCACGCAUGGCUACAAUGGGCCGGGUACAAGGGCUGCGAUACCGGCGAGGUGGAGCGGAAUCCGAAAAAGGCCGGUCUCAGUUCCGGAUUGGGGGUCUGCAACUCGAACCCCAUGAAAGUCCGGAGUCGCCUAAGUA
Molecule: ribosomal RNA, 1087 nt
Filed under: uncultured bacterium
Lineage: Bacteria
Description: bacterial SSU rRNA
Rfam family: Bacterial small subunit ribosomal RNA
Source: RNAcentral